RNAcentral lists this ribosomal RNA (467 nucleotides) under uncultured bacterium. Its description in RNAcentral is "partial 16S ribosomal RNA". It matches the Rfam family "Bacterial small subunit ribosomal RNA", at positions 28 to 507 of the family's 1533-position model. The record is from RNAcentral.
GACGAACGCUGGCGGCGUGCUUAACACAUGCAAGUCGAACGGAAAGGCCUCUUUCGGGGGGUACUCGAGUGGCGAACGGGCGAGUAACACGUGAGUAACUUGCCCUCUACUUUGGGAUAACUUCAGGCAACUGGGGCUAAUACCGGAUAGGAGCUCCUGCUGCAUGGUGGGGGCUGGAAAGUUUCGGCGGUUGGGGAUGGGUUGGCGGCGUAUCGGCUUGUGGGUGUGGUAGUGGCUUACCAAGGCCUUGGCGGGUAGCCGGACUGAGGGAGUGAGCGGCCGCAUUGGGACUGAGGGGCGGCCCAGACGGCUACGGGAGGCAACAGGGGGGAAGAUUGCUCAAGGGGUGGAGGCCUGAUGCAGAAGCGCCGUGUGCGGGAAAGCGCUCUUCGGGUUGAAGACCGCUUUCGCUCAUAACGAAGCUUUGUGUGACGGUAGUGGGUAAAGAAGCACCGGCUAACUACGUG